GCUAUGAUGAGGCUCAACUCAGCCGGAUGUUUGUGCUCCCAUGCUCACAGCGGCACUGGCCGCAGCAGCUGGGGAGGGAGUGGAUCCCGCGUGCAGUCGGCGAGACGGACGUGCUCCCUGCGCAGUGGGGCUGCGUUCAGUUCUCCGAGGACGGGCUCUGACGCGCUGCCUGUGGACCAGCCCUGUGGGCACUAGGCAGGGAACACCUCCUUCACCGUCACCUCUAGGCAGCACCCUAUUCACUGCCACCUCCAGGGAGCACCUCCUUCACCAUCACCUCCAGGAGCACCUCCAUCACUGUCAUUUCCAGGAGCACCUCCAUCACCUCCAGGGAGCACCUCCUUCACCGUCACCUCCAGGAGCACCUCCAUCACUGUCAUUUCCAGGAGCACCUCCAUCACCCCAGGGAGCACCUCCAUCACCAUCACCUCCAGGAGCACCUCCUUCACCAUCACCUCCAGGAGCACCUCCACCACCAUCACCUCCAGGGAGCAACUCCAUCACCGUCACUUCCAGGAGCACCUCCAGGGAGCACCUCCAUCACUGUCACCUCCAGGGAGCACCUCCUUCACUGUCACCUCCAGGAGCACUUCUAUCACCUCCAGGGAGCAUCUCCAUCACCAUCACCUCCAGAGAGCACCUCCUUCACUGUCACUUCCAGAACACCUCCAUCACCUCCAGGAGCACCCCCCCCCCCCACCCCCCCCCACCCCCACCCCCCCCCCCCCCACCACCCCCGGAGCACUCCAUCACCAUCACCUCCAGGAGCACCUCCUUCACCAUCACCUCCAGGAGCACCUCCACCACCAUCACCUCCAGGGAGCAACUCCAUCACCGUCACUUCCAGGAGCACUCCAGGGAGCACCUCCAUCACUGUCACCUCCAGGGAGCACCUCCUUCACUGUCACCUCCAGGAGCACUUCUAUCACCUCCAGGGAGCAUCUCUAUCACCAUCACCUCCAGAGAGCACCUCCUUCACUGUCACUUCCAGGAACACCUCCAUCACCUCCAGGGAGCAUCUCCUUCACUGUCACCUCCAGGGAGCAUCUCCAUCACCAUCACCUCCAGGAGCACCCCCAUCACCAUCACCUCCAGGAGCACCCCCAUCACCAUCACCUCCAGGGAGCACCUCCUUAACUGUCACCUCCAGGGAGCACCUCCAUCAGCUGUCACCUCCAGGGAGCACCUCCAUCACCUCCAGGGAACACCUCUUUCACCAUCACCUCCAAGAGCACCUUUAUCACCAUCAUCUUCAGGGAUCACCUCUGUUGUUGGAGGGAAGCACCUCUGUCACUGUCCUCUCCCUCCUGGGCUCCAAGUCGUGACUGGUCAGCCUCAGUGCAGCCAAGGGUGGGGGGCUCUAAGGCCUGAGGCCUCUCUGGCAUCACCCUCUUAAUAAAUCUCUCUCUCUGUAGCCAAAAACAUUUCAUGUCAUUUCUUCCUUGAUGUCACUUUCCUCACUGAAUACCUGAUUAAUGCAACAUGAGAAUAAUUUACAAUAAAAUGACUGUAUUUGCCAUGAAGCCCAGGUCAGAUGUGGGGGGUGAGACCACCGGAGCAGCCAGUCCUGGAGCCCGCAGGGUGGGCUGCACGCCUGCCUGUCUUCUGCUGUGGGCUCUGGAGCUAACAGAAGGGCCUGUGCCAGUGCUGGCGACAGUCUUCCCCAGCCAAAGCCUGCCUGGGCCGCACAGCUGUGGCUUGACUGUCAGCAGCUCCUGAACGUGGCACUAUGCUGGUGGCAUUCUUGCUUCUGCUCUGUUUGUGACAAACACGAGGUCACACCAAAUGCCAGAAAGUUCAAGGAAGGAUCUGUUUUCUGAAAAAAGGCAGCAGUGUUUCUGUGUUGGUGGUGACCUUGGGGCAUCACCCCACUCUGAUCUCUUGAGCCACUGUGAUCUCUUCUGGCUCCAGCAUCUCCCUCCCACGGGCUGCAAGACUCAGGAAGACAGCAGGGUCUGAUGGGGGCUCCUGGGUUUCAGUUCCACCUUCCACUUUGCACAACAUGAUGGGGGGUGACUUAACCUGCUGAACUUCAGACGUCCCAUUUACAGGACAGAGAUGAAGAAAACCCAAGCACACGGUUCCCCAAGCACCUGGCUGGGUUCCAGGUGCCCGGGACAGGUGGGUGGCCCUGCCCACUGGAGCUCCCACUCUGGAGCACAGAGCCCAGAAACGGGGGCACCAUAAAUUGGAACUCAGAGCAGAAAGGCCUUGUCAGGUGGGAGGUAGGCCUGCUGUGGGGCUAUGCACACAGUUCCACUUCCAAAGGCUAAGGAAGACGGGGUGAUACUCACCAGCUUCCCUAAAUCCCCCAUGCUUGUUUCAUAGAUGAGGAAAUCUGGGCUUUAGCCAGAAGAGCCUGCUAGGCUCACGGGGGCUAGAAGCGGUGGACUCUGGACCCUCCACUGUGGACGGCAGAGUAAUGGCCCCGAUGAUGAUCAAGUCUCAUCCCCAGAAUCUGAGAACGAGUCGUGUUUCACGGAAGAGGGAACGGAAGCUACUCCUCAGCCUACACUGAGACAGGGGCCUGUGGUGGGCUGUUGGGGGCGGCGCCUGAUGUAGUCGUCUGUGGUGGGCUGUUCCCGGCGGUGCGUGAGGUAGCGCCUGUGGUGGGCUGUUCCGGGUGGCGCCUGAUGUAGUAGAUUGUGAUGGGCUGUUCCGGGCGGUGCCUGAGGUAGCGUCUGUGGUGGGCAGUUCCGGGUGGUGCCUGAAGUAGUCGUCUGUGGUGGGCUGUUCCCGGCGGUGCCUGAGGUAGCGUCUGUGGUGGGCUGUUCCGGGCGGCGCCUGAUGUAGUAGAUUGUGAUGGGCUGUUCCGGGCGGUGCCUGAGGUAGCGUCUGUGGUGGGCUGUUCCCAGCGGCGCGUGAGGUCGCAUCUAUGGUGGGCUGUUCCUGGCGGCGCCUGAUGUAGCAUCUGUGGUGGGCUGUUCAGGGCGGCGCCUGAAGUAGUCGUCUGUGGUGGACUUUCCGGGCGGUGCCUGGUGUAGUCGCAGGGUCCUCACAGCUGACAGAAGGAGGCACAGGCAGGGGGAGUCCCAGACGCCGGUGAGAGAUUCGGCCGCCGCCGCUGGCUCGGGAGACAGGAGGAGCCCCAAGCUGGGGAAAGGGCAGCUUCGAGAUGUUGAAAAGGGCUGGAAACAGAGUGUCCCCGAAGCUUCCGGUAGGACUCAGCCGUGAGACACUGUGACUUCAGCCUGGGGAGCCCCGGGCCAGACCUCCGGCCCCUAGAGCUGUAGAGCAGGGUGGUCCCCAACAUUUUUGGCAUUAGGGAGCAGUUUGGUGGAAAAUUUUUCCACAGAUGGAGUUGGCGGGGAGAUGGUUCCAGGAUGAAACUGCUCAUCCUCAGAUCAUCAGGCACUGGAUUCUCAUAAGAAGGUGGAACCUGGGUACUUUGCACGCGCAAUUCACAGUGGGGUUCUCGCUCCUAUGAGACUCCAAUGCUGCCGCUGGUCUGACAGGAGGCGGAGCUCAGACUCUAAUGCCACUAUACCGCCACUCACCUUCUGCUGUGCGCCGGCUCCCAACAGGCCACGGACCCGCACUGGUCCUCGGCCCGAGUUGGGGACCCCUGCUGUUGGGGACAGACUCGUGCUGUCUUCAUCCGCCGAGCUUGUGGGCAUUCAUUUCAGCAGGCUCAGGAAACUCACACACCCUCAGGUGCGUCCAGUCCCAAGACCCCAGUAUCAACCACCCUCCCCCCGACCCCGUCCCGGGGCUAGACUGUGUAACACGCCAUCUGCACGUGGGCUGUGGAGCUCAGCAUGUCUGCAGGAAGGCGCCAGAUGCGCCCAGGACCCCAUGGUGUUACUGCCGUCCGCCGUCUUCAAGGGCCCAAGGGCUUCUUGCUGCCUCCCGGGCCUGUGACCCAGCAGGGGCUGACUCGCUGCCUCUGUAUGGUAGAUGCUUGAUUCCCAGGAACACAGGCACACGUGUUCCCGAGGAACCCCAGCCUCACUCCAACUAGGACUCUCCCUCCGUGUGCCUCCUUCUUUCGGGUUGAGGACCCCGUGGCAACAUCACCCCUCACCCUGGACAGCCCAGGGUGCUGCCUCCCUGCAGCCUCUGCCUUCCUUGGAGCCCCUGCAGCCCCAUUGCUGCCCGGAUCCCGGCUCUCCAUGGUUCGCAGAGCCCUUUGCCCGUGCGUUUGUCCCUCACCUCGGUGGCCUCUGCACGUCAUAACUCUCCUGACGGAACCCAUUGUAGAGUGACCUGGGCUGCCCAGACCCCCCUAUGUGCUGUCAGGGUGCACAGGACACAGCUUGCUAAAAAGUGGGAGGCAGGUAAGAACAGCUGAG
Long non-coding RNA from Macaca mulatta (Rhesus monkey), 4292 nucleotides. The record is from Ensembl. NCBI's taxonomy places the organism in Eukaryota, Metazoa, Chordata, Mammalia, Primates, Cercopithecidae.